GACGAACGCUGGCGGCGUGCUUAACACAUGCAAGUCGAACGGGAAGGCCCUGCUUUUGUGGGGUGCUCGAGUGGCGAACGGGUGAGUAACACGUGAGUAACCUGCCCUUGACUUUGGGAUAACUUCAGGAAACUGGGGCUAAUACCGGAUAGGAGCUCCUGCUGCAUGGUGGGGGUUGGAAAGUUUCGGCGGUUGGGGAUGGACUCGCGGCUUAUCAGCUUGUUGGUGGGGUAGUGGCUUACCAAGGCUUUGACGGGUAGCCGGCCUGAGAGGGUGACCGGCCACAUUGGGACUGAGAUACGGCCCAGACUCCUACGGGAGGCAGCAGUGGGGAAUAUUGCACAAUGGGCGGAAGCCUGAUGCAGCAACGCCGCGUGCGGGAUGACGGCCUUCGGGUUGUAAACCGCUUUCGCCUGUGACGAAGCGUGAGUGACGGUAAUGGGUAAAGAAGCACCGGCUAACUACGUGCCAGCAGCCGCGGUGAUACGUAGGGUGCGAGCGUUGUCCGGAUUUAUUGGGCGUAAAGGGCUCGCAGGUGGUUGAUCGCGUCGGAAGUGUAAUCUUGGGGCUUAACCCUGAGCGUGCUUUCGAUACGGGUUGACUUGAGGAAGGUAGGGGAGAAUGGAAUUCCUGGUGGAGCGGUGGAAUGCGCAGAUAUCAGGAGGAACACCAGUGGCGAAGGCGGUUCUCUGGGCCUUUCCUGACGCUGAGGAGCGAAAGCGUGGGGAGCGAACAGGCUUAGAUACCCUGGUAGUCCACGCUGUAAACGGUGGGUACUAGGUGUGGGGUCCAUUCCACGGGUUCCGUGCCGUAGCUAACGCUUUAAGUACCCCGCCUGGGGAGUACGGCCGCAAGGCUAAAACUCAAAGGAGUUGACGGGGCCCCGCACAAGCGGCGGAGCAUGCGGAUUAAUUCGAUGCAACGCGUAGAACCUUACCUGGGUUUGACAUGGAUCGGGAGUGCUCAGAGAUGGGUGUGCCUCUUUUGGGGUCGGUUCACAGGUGGUGCAUGGCUGUCGUCAGCUCGUGUCGUGAGAUGUUGGGUUAAGUCCCGCAACGAGCGCAACCCUUGUUCACUGUUGCCAGCACGUUAUGGUGGGGACUCAGUGGAGACCGCCGGGGUCAACUCGGAGGAAGGUGGGGAUGACGUCAAGUCAUCAUGCCCCUUAUGUCCAGGGCUUCACGCAUGCUACAAUGGCUGGUACAGAGAGUGGCGAGCCUGUGAGGGUGAGCGAAUCUCGGAAAGCCGGUCUCGGUUCGGAUCGGGGUCUGCAACUCGACCUCAUGAAGUCGGAGUCGCUAGUAAUCGCAGAUCAGCAACGCUGCGGUGAAUACGUUCCCGGG
This 1343-nucleotide ribosomal RNA is filed under the name uncultured bacterium. RNAcentral describes it as "16S ribosomal RNA". It matches the Rfam family "Bacterial small subunit ribosomal RNA", at positions 28 to 1378 of the family's 1533-position model. The record is from RNAcentral.